RNAcentral lists this ribosomal RNA (428 nucleotides) under uncultured prokaryote. RNAcentral's name for it is "bacterial SSU rRNA". It matches the Rfam family "Bacterial small subunit ribosomal RNA", at positions 355 to 774 of the family's 1533-position model. The record is from RNAcentral.
UGAGGAAUAUUGCGCAAUGGGGGCAACCCUGACGCAGCAACGCCGCGUGAGUGAGGAAGGUUUUCGGACCGUAAAGCUCUGUCGAGCGGGAAGAAAUGUAUCGUGGCUAAUAUCCAUGAUAUUUGACGGUACCGCUAAAGGAAGCACCGGCUAACUCCGUGCCAGCAGCCGCGGGAAUACGGGGGGUGCAAGUGUUGUUCGGAAUUAUUGGGCGUAAAGAGCGUGUAGGCGGUUGAAUAAGUCAGAUGUGAAAUCCCUGGGCUUAACCCAGGAAGGGCAGUUGAAACUAUUCAGCUUGAGUAGGGGAGAGGAAAGUGGAAUUCCUGGUGUAGAGGUGAAAUUCGUAGAUAUCAGGAGGAACACCGGUGGCGAAGGCGACUUUCUGGCCCUAUACUGACGCUGAGACGCGAGAGCGUGGGUAGCAAACA